ACACACACACACACACACACACACACACACACACACACACACACACACACACACACACACACACACACACACACACACACACACACACACACACACACACACACACACACACACACACACACACACACACCCAAAUCCCAUUGUCAUAGAGUAACAAAUAUAGAAGGUGUCCUCUGAUGAAACUGAUGUGUUUGUAAUGACAGUGAAUAUACUGUAACUGUGUUCUCUGUAGGCACCAACAUUGUGGACUUGCGUUCUCUAGAGGGAGAGGUGAUCCCCCUCAGGAACCUCAUUCACAUCUCCAACAGCAUAAAGGUAUGGCUGGGGGAGUCUGUUGAGAUGAAGGAAACUGAAGCAGCUGCUAUAUGAGUGUGUCUGCCAGGAGGAUAGGAUAGGUGGACCCGUCCUGCUACCCAUCUCAGAUCCUGCGCAGAGCAGAUCCAGUUCACUGAGGAGGCGGAGCUAUUUACUCAGCUAGAGCACCACACCUCCAUAGACACCAGCUCUGAGGUGAU
Molecule: long non-coding RNA, 515 nt
Filed under: Salmo salar (Atlantic salmon)
Lineage: Eukaryota; Metazoa; Chordata; Actinopteri; Salmoniformes; Salmonidae
Description: lncRNA (ENSSSAG00000095415.1)
Source: RNAcentral